AAUGGAAUAAAAUGUUGGAAAAUGGAAUGUUUGUUGGAAUUCAAUCCCUCUUUCUUUUUCUUCUCCCCACCCACUCAUCCAUCCACCUCUCUCUCUCUCUGUUUUCCUUUCGUGGAUUAUUUGUACUCUGAUGCAAUGGAUGUCCAUCCGAUGUUGUAUAUUGUGAUAAGUGUUAAAUCCUGAAUGAAUUAUGAUAGAUGGAUGCCAUUUGAAUA
RNAcentral lists this non-coding RNA (215 nucleotides) under Fragilariopsis kerguelensis. Lineage: Eukaryota; Bacillariophyta; Bacillariophyceae; Bacillariales; Bacillariaceae. The record is from RNAcentral.